UACAGAGGUCCCAAGCGUUGUUCGGAUUCAUUGGGCGUAAAGGGUGCGUAGGCGGCGCGGUAAGUCGGGUGUGAAAUUUCGGGCGUAACUCCGAAACUGCAUUCGAUACUGCCGUGCUUGAGGACUGGAGAGGAGACUGGAAUUUACGGUGUAGCGGUGAAAUGCGUAGAUAUCGUAAGGAAGACCAGUGGCGAAGGCGGGUCUCUGGACAGUUCCUGACGCUGAGGCACGAAGGCCAGGGGAGCAAACGGG
Molecule: ribosomal RNA, 252 nt
Filed under: uncultured bacterium
Lineage: Bacteria
Description: partial 16S ribosomal RNA
Rfam family: Bacterial small subunit ribosomal RNA
Source: RNAcentral